Long non-coding RNA from Gallus gallus (chicken), 1881 nucleotides. RefSeq lists it as uncharacterized. The transcript has 7 exons. The record is from RefSeq and is a predicted model, not a curated record. NCBI's taxonomy places the organism in Eukaryota, Metazoa, Chordata, Aves, Galliformes, Phasianidae.
ACGGAAGUCAUGGGAUCUCGCACUCGGACAGGAGCUCGCUCUCUCUCUCGCUGCCUGGCAGCGGGUGUGGGUGUGCUUCCAAGCAGUGCACCUUCAGUUCAAAGUUUUAUGAAGAAGGUUUCUUAAAACAUUUAUAUGUCUACUCGUCAGUAAACUGUGAAUUGCACAGAAUCGCAGGUGCUGGAAGGGACCUUAAGAGAUCAGUGAGUCCAACCUGCUGCUAAAGUAGGUUCCCUACAAUGCAUCUCACAGAGGAAAAAAAAAUGAAUUGGACACAAAUAUUAAAAAUAAGUCAGACUUUAGACAUCAUUUCUUAUAGAGUGGACAAGCUUUCAGCUCCUGGAUGAUAUGGCCACAAUGAUCUCUCUCUGGACUCCCUCACCAGACUGGGAUUUGGUGAGGUGCAACUGUCACAGAUUAGAGAUACUGUCUUCUGAAAAUGAAUUCUGCUAUCAUCUCCUGUUACUGACAUCCACCUCAGGACAAACAGUUGACUAAUGGGAAGCAAACAAGCUUUUAUGACAUAUCCUGACAUAAGUAUUUUUGGACCCAUCAUACUUUUUGCAGAACCCUACUCGAGUCUCCUAAUUUGCAUUACAUUAAUUACUGAAAUAUUACAUUACAGUGCUCUAACACAGCUAUAUGAAAUAGCUGACUAGUUUUACUUGUACUAAUUAGAAGUAGAAGCAAAUAACAAUUUUCUUUGUAAGAUAAUAGGCAAUUAUAGAUUUUUUUUUCCCAAUGUAAUGUUUUCAGUCUUUCAGUGAUUGCUUAUUUUACUGUAAAAUUCUUAUCUUCAUUUCUUUUUAGCAAUAAAUAAAUAAAUUAAAGCAUUAGUAUUCUGAUACUAUGCUAAAAGGAAAGAAAGAAAAAAAAAGAGAUGCCAUGCCAUUUGGUCUAGGAAUAUAGGCAAAAAUCUAAGGGUACUAUUAGCCUUCGAGUCACUUUUUUCAAAUGUCAUUCUUUGAGGAUGAAAACAUGUUGGCUUUGUAAAGCGCUUAACAUUUCAAGCUGAAAGGCUUGAACAAGCUUUGAACUCUGGAAUUUGUGAUGACUAAAAAUUAAAGGGAGAAAUAACAUUAAAUAAUACUGUAGCUUGUGAAGCUGUCUUUUUAAGUGUCUGAGCAUCUCCUCAAAUGUACAGUUUUUCUCGGAUCGACUUUUAAACCAAAGAACCCUAUGUAUCCCAUGGAGUGUUGUUGCUUUAUUUGGAAAUAUUCUUCUAUGUUCUAUGAGGCAGAAAAUGAAAGUGAAGUCUUUGUGAUGUGUGAAUAAACAGCUGGCUAUCUGAACAUUUCUCUGUCCAUAGAUACUGAAAUGUGCCUGUGUAAGCAGAGUUCACCACUGAUUAAAACACCUUUGUGGCUGAGCUGUGUAUCUGCCCUCCUUGACUAGUGGCCCCCAGCUCUUCAAGAUGCUGGGGCCUCCGGUCAAGAUUUAGCUGUUUGCAAUAAAAAGCUGUGUGCUUCAUCUUCUGCCCUUUGAAAAAUCUAUUUCUUUUUGGUUAUGUUAUUUCACCCUCUCACACCAUCCCUCCUUCUGUCAUGGUUUUGUAAUUUUGCUAUUGGUAUUUCACAUCAUAACAUCAUGUAAAGCAUGGGUAAUUAAAGAGUUAAUACUCCAGUUCCAUGGGCUAAUACUUCAGUUCCAUGGGCUGACAACUUUCUGGAUACCUACUUCUCAAAAGAGAAGAAGAACUACAUAUCCCAGGAGACCUCACGGUCAGAGAGGAAGAUACGUCACGGAAGUCAUGGGAUCUCGCACUCGGACAGGAGCUCGCUCUCUCUCUCGCUGCCUGGCAGCGGGUGUGGGUGUGCUUCCAAGCAGUGCACCUUCAGUUCAAAUCCUCUGCAACUAUAUCUCCAAAGAGGGUCAUCCUGA